Small nucleolar RNA from Nannospalax galili (Upper Galilee mountains blind mole rat), 129 nucleotides. The record is from Ensembl. NCBI's taxonomy places the organism in Eukaryota, Metazoa, Chordata, Mammalia, Rodentia, Spalacidae.
ACAGCGCUUUCAUAGGUUCUUCCUCAGUCAGUGGGGCCAGGAUUUGGUAGCUGGCACUUACAGAAAACCCUUGAUUACACCAUUGCCCUCAUAAUGUACCAGUGGCAGUUGUCUCUCAGGGGAGCAGAU